This is a long non-coding RNA of Pipra filicauda (Wire-tailed manakin), 311 nucleotides long. RefSeq lists it as uncharacterized. NCBI's taxonomy places the organism in Eukaryota, Metazoa, Chordata, Aves, Passeriformes, Pipridae. The record is from RefSeq and is a predicted model, not a curated record. The transcript has 3 exons.
UUGACUGUAAGGAGAGAGAGGAAAAAAAAAAAGGGAGGGGGCCUUUUUCUCUCUGCUUUCUUUUUCAGCUGUGUGCGAGCUGCUAAUUGAAACCAUCUCCUGGGCUCCAGCUGGUGGAGUUCCAGCCGGGAGGAGGGAGGAGGCUCCUUCGGCGUGGCAGUGAAGGAAACCUGAACACGUGUCUGAGUAAAUGCAGAAAUGGGGCCUGACACUUUAAUUCUGAAGGUGCACCACUCUAUGUCCCCAAUGCCACCUCUGCUUCUGGAGAAGACAGGGAAGGAGGUGUCCUUGGUUGUGCUGUUCACAAGGAC